This 428-nucleotide ribosomal RNA is filed under the name Acidobacteriota bacterium. RNAcentral's name for it is "Acidobacteria bacterium partial 16S ribosomal RNA". It matches the Rfam family "Bacterial small subunit ribosomal RNA", at positions 355 to 776 of the family's 1533-position model. The record is from RNAcentral. Lineage: Bacteria; Pseudomonadati; Acidobacteriota.
UGGGGAAUUUUGGACAAUGGGGGAAACCCUGAUCCAGCCAUCCCGCGUGUGCGAUGAAGGCCUUCGGGUUGUAAAGCACUGUGGCAGGGAAGAAACGUCAUGGGUUAAUACCCCGUGAAACUGACGGUACCUGCAGAAUAAGCACCGGCUAACUACGUGCCAGCAGCCGCGGUAAUACGUAGGGUGCAAGCGUUAAUCGGAAUUACUGGGCGUAAAGCGUGCGCAGGCGGUUCGGAAAGAAAGAUGUGAAAUACCAGGGCUCAACUUUGGAACUGCAUUUUUAACUACCGGGCUAGAGUGUGUCAGAGGGAGGUGGAAUUCCGCGUGUAGCAGUGAAAUGCGUAGAUAUGCGGAGGAACACCGAUGGCGAAGGCAGCCUCCUGGGAUAACACUGACGCUCAUGCACGAAAGCGUGGGGAGCAAACAGG